ACAGCAAUGCCGGAUCUUUAACCCACUGAGCGAGGCUAGGGAUCAAUCCCAGAUCCUCAUGGAUGCUAGUCAGGUUUGUUACUGCUGAGCCACAGUGGGAACUCCAGAAUGUAUAUUUUAUGCGAAGAGAAAUCUUAUUGAUCUUGGGAACAAAAAUCCUAUUUCCAAAAUCCAACGAACUCUGUGGGUACACCACGUUUGCACACGUACACCAACACAAAGAGAAAAAAAUGUUAGUUCUAACAGUGACUGCAAAUAUCUCUGUUUCAGGCAGAGAGCAAGGAAGAGCAGUUUGUUCAUGGUCUUAGAAAAUCAAGAGAGUUGUCAUCACCCUAAAGAGUUCUUCCAGCAUCAAGAUGGCACAUCUGGAGUUUCAGCACCUCUCCAAAAGUGGUAUGACAUCUGAAUUGACCUGUUAGUUAUGAAUAGGUUUUCUACAGUGUUUUGAUGAAAGAAGUUGUGACCCUGGAGAAGGAAGAAGCCAUUUUUGUAAACAGCUCCCACUUUGUUGGUGGUGCAUCUAAUUUUAAAAACGAGAAAGGCGAGAAGAAGUGUAAUACCCAACCUUCCUGGUGAAGUGCAUCCGCACACUUGUGAGGUUUUGCUAAACCACUCAUCAACCUGGAAUGUCUUUUAUGUAUGUGCCUGUUGAAAUUCUGCUCAUUCUUCAAGGACCAUUCAAGUCCAAAAUUUUUUUCUGAAGCCAUUAUUU
This is a non-coding RNA of Sus scrofa (pig), 712 nucleotides long. NCBI's taxonomy places the organism in Eukaryota, Metazoa, Chordata, Mammalia, Artiodactyla, Suidae. The record is from RefSeq and is a predicted model, not a curated record.